GUGGGGAAUCUUCCGCAAUGGACGAAAGUCUGACGGAGCAACGCCGCGUGAGUGAAGAAGGUUUUCGGAUCGUAAAGCUCUUUCGUUAGGGACGAACGUGCUCUUUGUAAAUAAUGAGGAGUAAUGACGGUACCUAAAUAAGAAGCCACGGCUAACUACGUGCCAGCAGCCGCGGUAAUACGUAGGUGGCAAGCGUUGUCCGGAAUUAUUGGGCGUAAAGCGCGCGCAGGCGGGAUAUCAAGUCUGUCUUAAAAGUGCGAGGCUCAACCUCGUGAGGGGACAGAAACUGGGAUUCUUGAGUGUCGGAGAGGAAAGUGGAAUUCCAAGUGUAGCGGUGAAAUGCGUAGAGAUUUGGAAGAACACCAGUGGCGAAGGCGACUUUCUGGACGAUGUCUGACGCUGAGGCGCGAAAGCUAGGGGAGCGAACGGGAUUAGAAACCCUAGUAGUCC
This 450-nucleotide ribosomal RNA is filed under the name uncultured bacterium. Its description in RNAcentral is "partial 16S ribosomal RNA". It matches the Rfam family "Bacterial small subunit ribosomal RNA", at positions 354 to 796 of the family's 1533-position model. The record is from RNAcentral.